CCUACGGGAGGCAGCAGUAAGGAAUAUUGGUCAAUGGACGCGAGUCUGAACCAGCCAUGCCGCGUGAAGGAUUAAGGCCCUCUGGGUUGUAAACUUCUUUUAUAGGGGACGAAAAAAGGGCAUUCUUGCUCACUUGACGGUACCCUAGGAAUAAGCACCGGCUAACUCCGUGCCAGCAGCCGCGGUAAUACGGAGGGUGCAAGCGUUAUCCGGAUUUACUGGGUUUAAAGGGUGCGUAGGUGGGUUGGUAAGUCAGUGGUGAAAUCUUCGAGCUUAACUCGGAAACUGCCAUUGAUACUAUCAAUCUUGAAUCAUCUAGAGGUAAGCGGAAUAUGUCAUGUAGCGGUGAAAUGCUUAGAUAUGACAUAGAACACCAAUUGCGAAGGCAGCUUACUAUGGAUGUAUUGACACUGAGGCACGAAAGCGUGGGGAUCAAACAGGAUUAGAUACCCUGGUAGUCCACGCCCUAAACGAUGGAUACUCGACAUUUGUGAUAUACUAUAAGUGUCUGAGCGAAAGCAUUAAGUAUCCCACCUGGGAAGUACGACCGCAAGGUUGAAACUCAAAUGAAUUGACGG
Molecule: ribosomal RNA, 578 nt
Filed under: uncultured bacterium
Lineage: Bacteria
Description: bacterial SSU rRNA
Rfam family: Bacterial small subunit ribosomal RNA
Source: RNAcentral